GCAGUCGACGGAGCACCCUUGACUGAGGUUUCGGCCAAAUGAUAGGAAUGCUUAGUGGCGGACUGGUGAGUAACGCGUGAGGAACCUGCCUUCCAGAGGGGGACAACAGUUGGAAACGACUGCUAAUACCGCAUGACGCAUGACCGGGGCAUCCCGGGCAUGUCAAAGAUUUUAUCGCUGGAAGAUGGCCUCGCGUCUGAUUAGCUAGAUGGUGGGGUAACGGCCCACCAUGGCGACGAUCAGUAGCCGGACUGAGAGGUUGACCGGCCACAUUGGGACUGAGAUACGGCCCAGACUCCUACGGGAGGCAGCAGUGGGGAAUAUUGGGCAAUGGACGCAAGUCUGACCCAGCAACGCCGCGUGAAGGAAGAAGGCUUUCGGGUUGUAAACUUCUUUUGUCAGGGAAGAGUAGAAGACGGUACCUGACGAAUAAGCCACGGCUAACUACGUGCCAGCAGCCGCGGUAAUACGUAGGUGGCAAGCGUUGUCCGGAUUUACUGGGUGUAAAGGGCGUGCAGCCGGGCCGGCAAGUCAGAUGUGAAAUCUGGAGGCUUAACCUCCAAACUGCAUUUGAAACUGUAGGUCUUGAGUACCGGAGAGGUUAUCGGAAUUCCUUGUGUA
Molecule: ribosomal RNA, 621 nt
Filed under: uncultured bacterium
Lineage: Bacteria
Description: bacterial SSU rRNA
Rfam family: Bacterial small subunit ribosomal RNA
Source: RNAcentral